GGUGGGUGUAUGUCUGGUCACGUGUUCUAUAUCGUAUCCGUGACUAGAUAUAUACUCAUCU
This 61-nucleotide microRNA precursor is filed under the name Eisenia fetida (common brandling worm). The record is from RNAcentral. Lineage: Eukaryota; Metazoa; Annelida; Clitellata; Crassiclitellata; Lumbricidae.